GGGCCUAUAGCUCAAUGGUCAGAGCAGAGGACUCAUAAUCCUUUGGUUCCAGGUUCGAAUCCUGGUGGGCCCACCA
This 76-nucleotide transfer RNA is filed under the name Gammaproteobacteria bacterium. Its description in RNAcentral is "tRNA-Ile". It matches the Rfam family "tRNA". Rfam says of the family: Transfer RNA (tRNA) molecules are approximately 80 nucleotides in length. Their secondary structure includes four short double-helical elements and three loops (D, anti-codon, and T loops). The record is from RNAcentral. Lineage: Bacteria; Pseudomonadati; Pseudomonadota; Gammaproteobacteria.